Molecule: unclassified non-coding RNA, 323 nt
Filed under: Hevea brasiliensis (rubber tree)
Lineage: Eukaryota; Viridiplantae; Streptophyta; Magnoliopsida; Malpighiales; Euphorbiaceae
Source: RNAcentral
AUGGCAGGGCCUAAUAGGUUAGCUAAGAUCCUGCAUAUUUGAAACAGGACACAAUGGAUACACCUUGAGCUUGAAUAUUUUAGCUCAAUGCCAUCUACUCAGUUCCUGUCUUCCUUACGUAGAGAUUUAAAACAGUAAACCAAGUCUCAUAACUCAUCAUCUUCUUCUUCUUCUUUUAACAAUACAUCUCCUCACACGUUCCCAGUAAGAGCUUCAAUCUAAAAGAAAUUGAACAACUCUUGUUUCUGCAAUUAAAUUCAAGUGGAUGGACUACGAUACCACUCCCAUUUGUCAUUGACUUCUGAAUUGUCAUCCAUUGUCAA